Molecule: long non-coding RNA, 685 nt
Organism: Aegilops tauschii subsp. strangulata
Lineage: Eukaryota; Viridiplantae; Streptophyta; Magnoliopsida; Poales; Poaceae
Source: RefSeq, a predicted model, not a curated record
UUUCUGUGCAGACCACUUGAGCCUCCUCUCUGUCCUCCGGAAACCAGGACUCUUCACCCUCACCACUCGCCGCUUCUCCCACCUUCUCCGCCGCCGCAAUGGCAGCGGAAAGCACGGCAGCCACCUCAUCGCUCGCAUGCGCACCCUCCCCGGCGCCGGCAGACGCACUCCUACCCGCCCCGCCAGCCGCCCAGCGUCCCGAGCAACGCGACCUUGGGACUGGGAGGGUCGUAUGGGCGGUGAUAAGCUGGACUAGAGGUUGCGCGGGGAGGCGGAGCCCGGAGCCGCCGUGCCUGGCGACAUGGGCGGCGAGUUCCGCUUGUGGAUUGCCCUCCUACUGGCUGGAUGGCAGGGACAAUGGAUGCUGAAGUGGUUCAGACAUCGACUGAACUGGUGAAUCCGACUACUUGAUGAGAAGAUAAGUACUACUCGUAGGCCUGCAUACUUUCAUCUGAACUUUCAGGUGGCCUGUCACCUGUCAGGUGGUGAAAUCAAUCAGUUAUACCCAUGAGCAAUGGUCUGCAUGAUAAUAUUUCAUAUUUGGUUUAGGCACCGAUGCAUAUAUGUACAGACAAUGGCCAGCAGUUUAAAGCAUCCCCUCUGGUACCCAGUGUUUGCUUGAAGCAUCCACAUGACUUCAGGAAAGGAAAUGAGAUGGAAAGGGGGAAAUGAUAGUAACAGCGAA